GGUCCUCUCCAAAUGCUUAAACUCUAUGGCAUUCCCUACUGGGUAGGUCUAGUUCUGCAAUAACUUGCAUGUCAAGCCAUAGGAAGCAAUCUCUGCAAUUCAUUUUCUUCUUAUUUAAUUCAUGAAUUUGCAUUGAAAUGCAGAUCUUUGUCAUGUGGUUGGACUUUGUGACCUACCUGCAUCACCAUGGUCAUGGAGAUAAACUUCCCUGGUAUCGUGGAAAGGUGCGAUGAUAAACGAUAAAAUCAAUGAGCUUUAGUUUAAUGGUACUGGAGUUUCCUCCAGAGCUGACUAUCGUUUUC
This 302-nucleotide long non-coding RNA is filed under the name Manihot esculenta (cassava). Its description in RNAcentral is "long non-coding RNA (MESC_LNC005749)". Lineage: Eukaryota; Viridiplantae; Streptophyta; Magnoliopsida; Malpighiales; Euphorbiaceae. The record is from RNAcentral.